CCGACCUUGUGUGUGGCAUCUCUCCAAACCCCCUCGACCGUCUGGACUUCUCCGAUAGUGAACUUCUGCAUUCGUCUACUGGGCCGCCGCAAAAGCUCUUUGGGCCUCACCACCAGCCGACCUUCUACAGUGAUCAACUAUUCAUCGAACUUCUUUUGGACUUCGCCAAUAUCCGAGCUUCUUCGGUAAUGAGAUUUCUACAGUAAUCAGACUCCACCCAAGUUUCUACGAUGG
This 234-nucleotide long non-coding RNA is filed under the name Elaeis guineensis (African oil palm). RNAcentral's name for it is "long non-coding RNA (EGUI_LNC051599)". The record is from RNAcentral. Lineage: Eukaryota; Viridiplantae; Streptophyta; Magnoliopsida; Arecales; Arecaceae.